UACGUAGGUGACAAGCGUUGUCCGGAUUUACUGGGCGUAAAGAGCGCGCAGGCGGUCGAUCAAGUCGAGUGUGAAAGCCCCCGGCUCAACUGGGGAGGGUCAUUCGAUACUGUUCGACUCGAAGGCAGGAGAGGGAAGUGGAAUUCCGGGUGUAGUGGUGAAAUGCGUAGAUAUCCGGAGGAACACCAGUGGCGAAGGCGACUUUCUGGCCUGUUCUUGACGCUGAGGCGCGAAAGCUAGGGGAGCAAACGGG
Molecule: ribosomal RNA, 253 nt
Filed under: uncultured bacterium
Lineage: Bacteria
Description: partial 16S ribosomal RNA
Rfam family: Bacterial small subunit ribosomal RNA
Source: RNAcentral